Molecule: ribosomal RNA, 163 nt
Filed under: Combretum molle
Lineage: Eukaryota; Viridiplantae; Streptophyta; Magnoliopsida; Myrtales; Combretaceae
Description: 5.8S ribosomal RNA
Rfam family: 5.8S ribosomal RNA
About the family: 5.8S ribosomal RNA (5.8S rRNA) is a component of the large subunit of the eukaryotic ribosome.
Source: RNAcentral
UAACGACUCUCGGCAACGGAUAUCUCGGCUCUCGCAUCGAUGAAGAACGUAGCGAAAUGCGAUACUUGGUGUGAAUUGCAGAAUCCCGUGAACCAUCGAGUCUUUGAACGCAAGUUGCGCCCGAAGCCUUGGCUGAGGGCACGCCUGCCUGGGUGUCACACGU